GGAGAGGUCGCAUAGUGGUCGAGUGCAGCGGUCUUGAAAACCGCCAACCGAAAGGUUCGAGGGUUCGAAUCCCUCCCUCUCCG
This 83-nucleotide transfer RNA is filed under the name Candidatus Levyibacteriota bacterium. RNAcentral describes it as "tRNA-Ser". It matches the Rfam family "tRNA". Rfam says of the family: Transfer RNA (tRNA) molecules are approximately 80 nucleotides in length. Their secondary structure includes four short double-helical elements and three loops (D, anti-codon, and T loops). The record is from RNAcentral. Lineage: Bacteria; Candidatus Levyibacteriota.